RNAcentral lists this ribosomal RNA (484 nucleotides) under uncultured bacterium. RNAcentral describes it as "partial 16S ribosomal RNA". It matches the Rfam family "Bacterial small subunit ribosomal RNA", at positions 30 to 507 of the family's 1533-position model. The record is from RNAcentral.
AUUGAACGCUGGCGGCAGGCCUAAUACAUGCAAGUCGAGCGGAUGAAGGGAGCUUGCUCCUGGAUUCAGCGGCGGACGGGUGAGUAAUGCCUAGGAAUCUGCCUGGUAGUGGGGGAUAACGUCCGGAAACGGGCGCUAAUACCGCAUACGUCCUGAGGGAGAAAGUGGGGGAUCUUCGGACCUCACGCUAUCAGAUGAGCCUAGGUCGGAUUAGCUAGUUGGUGGGGUAAAGGCCUACCAAGGCGACGAUCCGUAACUGGUCUGAGAGGAUGAUCAGUCACACUGGAACUGAGACACGGUCCAGACUCCUGCGGGAGGCAGCAGUGGGGAAUAUUGGACAAUGGGCGAAAGCCUGAUCCAGCCAUGCCGCGUGUGUGAAGAAGGUCUUCGGAUUGUAAAGCACUUUAAGUUGGGAGGAAGGGCAGUAAGUUAAUACCUUGCUGUUUUGACGUUACCAACAGAAUAAGCACCGGCUAACUUCGUG